GAGCAAAGGGGAAAUAGAUCCGAUAAAGGGAAGGAAAAAGUGGUCGAAUAGUUAGCGGAAUCGUUCGACAACACCUGAGGUAAGUUCUUGAGUAAGAGAGCUUAAAUUACGAUGUGAUUAAAUCAUGUUUUAAGAAAAUUAAAAUCAUGCUCUAUGUGUGGCUAUUGAGCCGAAUGUGCAAGGAUGGUAUGUGCCUUGUGUUUGAGUUUUGCUAAUGAAAAAGAAAUACGAAUGUGCCAUGAAUUAUUGUUAGAUGUGCAUGAUUAAUUGAAUGCUGUCCGGGCUAAGUCCCGAAGGCUUUGUGCUAAGUGACUAUAUCCGGACUAAGAUCCGAAGGUAUUUGUGCGAGUUAUUAAUUCCGAGUUAAGUCCCGAAGGCCUUUGUGCGAGAUACUAAUUCCGGGUUAAGUCCCGAAGGCAUUCGUGCGAGUUUUAAAAUCCGGGUUAAGUCCCGAAGGCAUUGAAUGAGUUAAUAUAACCGGGCUAUGUCCCGAAGGCACUUGAACGUGGAGCUAAAUCCGGUUAAAUUCCGAAGGUACGUGAUUUUGGUAAUGAAUGAGCUUGCUGUAAAAUUCCAGCUAAUACUCGAAAAACAUCCCAAUAUUGGGAUAUGUUACGUAUGUGUAGAAUUUAAUCGAGCCCUUACAAAUAAGUAUUCGCUCAGUUGAUAAACGAGCUACCGGCCUUUGGCUGAGUUGAUCUUUUGUGUAUGUACAUAAGGGUUGAUAAUGUGAAGCAAGUACGAUAUCGUAAAUUUGUGCAUAUGAAAUUAUCCGUUUAGCUAUAUGAAUGCUAUACUUUUGUUGUGCUGGAAUUCCUUGCUCAAAACUUACUAAGCAUAAAUUGCUUACUCCGUUUUAUUGCUCCUCUGUUUUAUAGAUUUGGUUCUCCAGCUAUCGGACUCGGGAUCUUGAAGUCAAAGUCGCCCACACUAUCAAAGCCCCCCCCUUUUGGUACAAUUUUGGUUGAACUUCGAAAUGGCAUGUAUAGGACUACCCGUUUGUUGUGGGUCGUGGACCCUUUGGACUUGUAUAAAU
Molecule: long non-coding RNA, 1036 nt
Filed under: Gossypium barbadense (sea-island cotton)
Lineage: Eukaryota; Viridiplantae; Streptophyta; Magnoliopsida; Malvales; Malvaceae
Description: long non-coding RNA (GBAR_LNC000413)
Source: RNAcentral